Molecule: ribosomal RNA, 430 nt
Filed under: Acidobacteriota bacterium
Lineage: Bacteria; Pseudomonadati; Acidobacteriota
Description: Acidobacteria bacterium partial 16S ribosomal RNA
Rfam family: Bacterial small subunit ribosomal RNA
Source: RNAcentral
UGGGGAAUAUUGGACAAUGGGCGAAAGCCUGAUCCAGCCAUGCCGCGUGUGUGAAGAAGGCCUUUUGGUUGUAAAGCACUUUAAGCGAGGAGGAGGCUACUUAGAUUAAUACUCUAGGAUAGUGGCCGUUACUCGCAGAAUAAGCACCGGCUAACUCUGUGCCAGCAGCCGCGGUAAUACAGAGGGUGCGAGCGUUAAUCGGAUUUACUGGGCGUAAAGCGUGCGUAGGCGGCUUUUUAAGUCGGAUGUGAAAUCCCUGAGCUUAACUUAGGAAUUGCAUUCGAUACUGGGAAGCUAGAGUAUGGGAGAGGAUGGUAGAAUUCCAGGUGUAGCGGUGAAAUGCGUAGAGAUCUGGAGGAAUACCGAUGGCGAAGGCAGCCAUCUGGCCUAAUACUGACGCUGAGGUACGAAAGCAUGGGGAGCAAACAGG